GUUUAAUUAGUUUAAAUAAAAAUUUUAGAGUGUGGAUCUAAGGAAGGAUUACCAUUAAAUA
RNAcentral lists this transfer RNA (61 nucleotides) under Carios vespertilionis. Its description in RNAcentral is "tRNA-His". Lineage: Eukaryota; Metazoa; Arthropoda; Arachnida; Ixodida; Argasidae. The record is from RNAcentral.